AGUGAACGCUGGCGGUAGGCCUAACACAUGCAAGUCGAACGGCAGCACAGUAAGAGCUUGCUCUUACGGGUGGCGAGUGGCGGACGGGUGAGGAAUACAUCGGAAUCUACUUUUUCGUGGGGGAUAACGUAGGGAAACUUACGCUAAUACCGCAUACGACCUACGGGUGAAAGCAGGGGAUCUUCGGACCUUGCGCGAUUGAAUGAGCCGAUGCCGGAUUAGCUAGUUGGCGGGGGAAAGGCCCACCAAGUCGACGAUCCGUAGCUGGUCUGAGAGGAUGAUCAGCCACACUGGAACGGAGACACGGCCCAAACGCCUACGGGAGGCAGCAGUGGGGAAUAUUGGACGAUGGGCGCAAGCCUGAUCCAGCCAUACCGCGUGGGUGAAGAAGGCCUUCGGGUUGUAAAGCCCUUUUGUUGGGAAAGAAAAGCAGCAGGUUAAUACCCCGCUGUUCUGACGGUACCCAAAGAAUAAGCACCGGCUAACUUCGUG
Molecule: ribosomal RNA, 492 nt
Filed under: uncultured bacterium
Lineage: Bacteria
Description: partial 16S ribosomal RNA
Rfam family: Bacterial small subunit ribosomal RNA
Source: RNAcentral